UAGUGGUAGUUGUAUAAUUCAAUAUUCUUAUUGUUAUCUUUUCCCGAAUGCACUCUAAUAUUUUCCCUUUCUUCCUUCCGCCACCACCUCUUCCACUUUGACACAACAUCCACCUACAGUGUCUAUAAAUAAGACUGGUCUCUUUAGAAAAAAAAAAAAAAGAAAAAAAAUCGUACGUAACUCACCAUAUUUAUAACACUCUUCCGCCCGAGCAGCCCCCCACACUUACAAUAUAACAUCUGUUUCUUUGUGCUUACGAAACCUUUCUGCGUUUUCUGUAUUUUGUUUUACUUAAAAUUUUGCUUCGUUUAACUCUUUCACUGCGGCAUGCAACAAUUCACACCACUAUAAAUAAGGUAUGGAAUCUUUAUAAGCAUCUACAAGAACCGGAAUAGAAUAGAUUUUACAGUUUCUGACGAGUACAAUAUUGGAGGUGGCUGUGGAACAAGAAAAGAUGUACCAUAGUUGUUUGUGAUAAAGGAGAAAUGUGGCAAAAUAACAUUAAAAGGGUUUUAAAGUACCGGACAGCUUCGAGACAGCUUCGAGAGAGUACCGAGGCAACGCGACUCACUGCAGCCAUCUUAGACGCUUACCUAGUCCCCGUGCGUUCGUUGUCUGGUGCAAGCGCGUAGUGGAUUCUGUACUUUCUCGAACACUUAUUACUGGUGAAGGUGAAGCAGGACCGCCGAGGUGCUACGUAGGGACUGUGCCAAGUGCCUGCAGUGAUGUGCUCCUGAGAAGAGCAUGGCGAGGUCCUGGCGGUACACAGCGAAGUAGUACACAGGGAGGCCAGCCAGGAUGACUCCCACUGCCCCAGCGACCUCCAUUGGCGACAUUAUGACAGGCACACUAAGGAGAAAGAUUUGGACGCCAGCGAAGAGGAUGGGUACCGCCAGCCACACCUGUAGAUAUGGCACAGAUGACUGCCGGCACGGGGGUGUAGUGCUUGGUACUGACGAGGCCGAAAGCGGUGGGGAAGUGACCUUUGCGCGCCCCGACGAACACCAGGCGGCUUUGCGUGAAGACGGAGGCGUGGGUGCUGCCGAAGGUGGAGAGCAUGACGAACACCGGCAUGCUCCAGGCGAGGAUGCCCAGCACGCGAGUCCCGAAGGUCUGCAGGGCGGGGAGAGGAGAACCUCAGCCACGUACCAUCCAGUGUAGGAGAAGAGGCUCUGGUAGAAGGCUGUAGCUAAAGGUGCCAGCUCUGUCCUCGUGCCGGUCCAAGGGGAUCUGUAGUGCUCCACGUGGCCCUCCCCGAGUCUCCAGAUGCCAGCCAGUAUG
This is a long non-coding RNA of Scylla paramamosain (green mud crab), 1281 nucleotides long. RefSeq lists it as uncharacterized. The transcript is spliced from 4 exons. The record is from RefSeq and is a predicted model, not a curated record. Lineage: Eukaryota; Metazoa; Arthropoda; Malacostraca; Decapoda; Portunidae.